Astatotilapia calliptera (eastern happy) is the source of this 1208-nucleotide long non-coding RNA. The record is from Ensembl. Lineage: Eukaryota; Metazoa; Chordata; Actinopteri; Cichliformes; Cichlidae.
ACACAAAGACACACACAUACAAACACAUAUAUCUAGGUCAAGGCAGCCAGGGAUAAUAGGGAAAGCCUGAGGCGAUUCUGCCCAGCAAAUGAUCUUAUAAAAUGAUUAAAGAGUGGUUUCUGAAAACAGUGAAAGCACAUUGAAGGAUAUGUAAGGUAAUGUAGAUGUGUCAAUAUGUUUGUACUUGUGAGUACAAACUCAAUAGUAUUUACUCAAAGACUCCAUCAGAAGAGGAAGUGAAGAGGCUGUGGGGGUUAGGAUGGUGGUUCAGUGGUUUUUCAACUGAAAAUAAAGCCUAUGCAAGUCCUUCAGUGAAGGUAUUGCAAGAAGGUCAUGCAAUCUUUUUUUUUUUUUUUUUUGGGAUAACCACAUUUUAUCCUUUAGUCAAUAUAUGACCACAACGUGGUUAAUACUGAUUUUGUUUUUGAUCCACACAAUACAGGCAAGCAUUAAAGUGGGAAGACGGUCAAUAUUUUUUCUUUUCUUUCUUUUAAAAUGUUUUAAAACUUUACACUUUAAAGAAGAAGCCUUUUUAACUCAUUUCAUCUUUUAAUGAGGAGGUAAUCAAAGCAGUGAGAAGGUCUCAUAUCAUUCUUUUUUUUAUUGUUUCCCAGAAAAUGAAAUUUAAAAAAUAAAAUAAAGAAAUACGCAAAAAUAAAGAAAAAUCAAAAAUAAGAAAAAUUGUAAGAAAGGGGUGUUGGUAUAUUUUAAAGGUUAGAAGAUAAUAAAUAAUGAAAACAUGAGGAUAAAAAGACAGAGUAUACUUAUAGAUGUUUGAAGACUGACGAUGCAGAUAUUUUUAGUUUUGGCAAACUGCUAAAAAUUUUCAUCUGACCACUUUUUUUCUUUUUUUUUGUUAAAUGAAUUGGCUCUAUUGAAAAGUGUAGACAGAUAUGCAAACAAGCUGAAUAUGUGUUAAUGACUGUUAGCUUAGUGUGUGAAUAGCAAGGUGUUGAUUAGUGCUGUUGCAAGCCGCUGUAGCCAAGACAAGCCUGGCCCACUGUGGUGAGUUACAGCACACAGCUUCAGCCAACAAUAACGAACUUCUGUUUCCAUUAACAGUUCUCCAAGUCACUUCAACUCUUGUCCUGACAGAGGCGAUGCUGUCUUACUGCAGAGCUGCUGUUUGCCCUCUGGCCAUGUGGGGAAAGAAGGGAUAGGAUAAAUGAGACCCUUCUGGACAGCGGUGAAGUGACCCACAUGUUUUC